This 948-nucleotide ribosomal RNA is filed under the name uncultured organism. RNAcentral's name for it is "bacterial SSU rRNA". It matches the Rfam family "Bacterial small subunit ribosomal RNA", at positions 494 to 1445 of the family's 1533-position model. The record is from RNAcentral.
CGGCUAACUCCGUGCCAGCAGGCCGCGGUAAUACGGAGGAUGCAAGCGUUAUCCGGAUUCAUUGGGGUUUAAAGGGUGGCGUUAGGCGGAAUAGUAAGUCAGUGGUGAAAGGCUGCCAGCUUAACUGUAGAAUUGCCAUUGAUACUGUUAUUCUUGAGUGUAGUUGAGGUAGGCGGAAUGUGUAAUGUAGCGGUGAAAUGCUUAGAUAUUACACAGAACACCGAUUGCGUAGGCAGCUUACUAAACUAUAACUGACGCUGAGGCACGAAAGCGUGGGGAGCGAACGGGAUUAGAUACCCUGGUAGUCCACGCUGUAAACGAUGAUCACUCGUUGUUGGCAAUACAUCGUCAGCGACUGAGCGAAAGCAUUAAGUGAUCCACCUGGGGAGUACGUUGGCAACGAUGAAACUCAAAGGAAUUGACGGGGGCCCGCACAAGCGGUGGAACAUGUGGUUUAAUUCGAUGAUACGCGAGGAACCUUACCUGGGCUUAAAUGUAGACUGCAUGUGGUGGAAACAUCACUUUCCUUCGGGACCGUCUACAAGGUGCUGCAUGGUUGUCGUCAGCUCGUGCCGUGAGGUGUCGGGUUAAGUCCCAUAACGAGCGCAACCCCUAUUGUUAGUUGCUAACAGGUAAUGCUGAGGACUCUAGCGAAACUGCCGGUGUAAACCGAGAGGAAGGUGGGGAUGACGUCAAAUCAGCACGGCCCUUAUGUCCAGGGCUACACACGUGUUACAAUGGUUGGUACAGAGGGCAGCUACCGGGCGACCGGAUGCUAAUCUCGAAAGCCAAUCUUAGUUCGGAUCGGAGUCUGCAACUCGACUUCGUGAAGCUGGAAUCGCUAGUAAUCGCGCAUCAGCCACGGCGCGGUGAAUACGUUCCCGGGCCUUGUACACACCGCCCGUCAAGCCAUGGAAGUUUGGGGUACCUGAAGUCCGUAACCGCAAG